Molecule: long non-coding RNA, 4349 nt
Organism: Choloepus didactylus (southern two-toed sloth)
Lineage: Eukaryota; Metazoa; Chordata; Mammalia; Pilosa; Megalonychidae
Exons: 2
Source: RefSeq, a predicted model, not a curated record
UUUAUUCUUUCCUUUUUAUGAAAAACCAGGAUUGCCAUUCACCACCAGUCACCUUGCAUCUUUCCCAUUUCUAUGAUUUCUCAAGGAUUACCAACAGCUGACCAGUGUGAUUUCACCUGCAUGUUUUCUCAGCUCCUUUUGUUCCCUACAUAAGUGGGAGUCAACUGAAGUGAAAUUUAGGUGGCAAAUAAAGCAGGAAGCUUCCUCAGGGGCAAAGAAAUCUGCCUAUAGCUCCUUAAAAGAGACUUGUUAACAAGCAAUAGAAAUUAGAGCUGUGCUUCCUUAUUAGGAGUUCUGAACUGGAUUUUUAUGAAUUUUACAGUUGCAAAUUUUAAUUUUAGGUAAGAUGCCUUUUCCUUUCAAUACGUUAAUUUGCAGAGUACGUUAGCUACCUUGUUAAAGUGAAAACAAGCUAUAAUUAUGUGUGCUCAUAAACCAUCCUGCUGGGGCCACCCUUCAGGAAGGAAAACACAUACGGUGUGAUUGCACAAGGCUAUUUAUUUAACAGUACAUUUGGAAGAAGAUAAGGCAACAAGGCAAUAUUUUUAUAGUUUUGCUAGCAUUUUCCCAAGGUAAAGAGCCAGGAAACACCUUGUGCUGUUUUCCCAAGAACUCCUCUGUGGUAUCUCCCUAACUCCAUGCACAAACGCUAGACAUGGUGAAGUUGGGAAAGUUUUGAGGCAGCAAAAAGCUUGUUUUGUCCAUCACAAUUGGUUUGCAAACUGAAUGCCUGGUUUUGGUGUACUGCUUCGUUUGAUCAAGACAGAAUCCCUUCAGUAUUGAUAAUACUAAAUGUAUAAGGCCAGAUAAGUUCAAGGACUUGAGUUUAAGAACAUUUUACUGUUGCCAAUUGAUAAUAUAUAAACCCUGUCUUUUGUUUAUCCCAAAUGAUGGCAAAUUUUGUCUCAUCUUGACAAAAUUAUUCCAUGAUACAUAUUUCCCAUUUUGCUCAAGGGAAAUAAUAAUUCCUGGGCUGCUGUCUGGUAGAUGCCACAGCUGCAUUUUUAAGCUUGCACUUGCUUUGUAUCUCAUCAGCAAGGGCCUACUGUCCUUUGAGGUUGACUUAAUGUUUGCUCAGCUGUUAAAUACCUCCCUGCAUUUUUCCUGAUUUAAUAUUUCUAUAAACAGGAAAGUGUGUGAAAGUAAAAAAUGUAUACUAUUUACAGACUGAAAACUUUCUUUGAAUUUAUCAAGGGUUUAGUGACUCACUUUUGCAUUAUUAUAUGAUAUGCAAAUCUUUUACUUCAAUAUCUGAAAGUUCUUUAUGUCAGAUAGUAGUAUUAGUUUCAGCUAUAAUCAUCAGUUUAAGUAAAUGUUCCCAUAAUUUCGUGAUCCAGAUAAAAAGUGUUUCUCUGUGGAAACUUAGUCCUUGGCUGAUUUUCUUUCAUGAGAAGUCUUCAGGCAGAUUAGUUGUAACUUCAAAGUACUGAAAAACAGAGCCACUGUAAGGGAGAAAAAAACACAAAUCAGUGCAGUGAACAUUUUUUAAAUUAAAGGCUCUUUAAAAGUACCUGUAGUUUAUUCUGAAAGUUCAGGAAAACUGAUCCAAGGCUAAGAUACAAGUGCACUAGCUCACAUUCUUUCUACCUAGAGUCUAGCAUUUUACACAAGGUUAGUAGCUGUGUGUUAUUUGAAUCAGGUGGCCACAAAUCAUAUUACAGGGCUGAUUGGAUACACGAAACUUGAGAUUCAGACAACAUAUAAAUGAACAUUUUCACUUAUCUCUGCCUCAGAACAGUCACAUCAAAAGCCCUUAAACUAGUGGUUUUUAGCCUUGGUUCUGACUAGAAUGACCCUGGGGGAAUCAGAUUCUGAUUUUAAUUGACUGGGAUAGCACCUGGACAUCAGGAUUUAAUUAAAAAAAAAAAAAAAAACUCUUCCCCAGGUGAUUUAAUGUGCAGCCAAGGUUGAGAAUCACUCACACUGAAGGGGAGAUGAUCCUGACAUUGCUCAUCCUUAGCAAAGACUACUAGAUGUGGGAAUCUCUAGGAACCUGUGAAAGGAGAAGCUUAGGAGUAGGAGUGAGAGCCAGUGGCUAAGACCUUUCUUGGAGGAAAUGGGGUGAGACUGGACUGAGUAGGCAGGCCAGUAUAGACAGAGUUGGGAGCUGGGAUGGACAAGGAUAUCUAGCAAUGAUGAUAAGGAGCUAGAGUUUCCAGAACUUAAUGAUGUGAUAUGUUUUAUGUCACAGUGAUUGGCUCUACUUUGCCUUACAGUCUCAAUGCAGGGAUAUUUCCUAGUCUUCAUAUAGCAUUAAUCAAGUUAAGGUUAUUUGUAAACAGUUAAAAUCUAUUUUCAGUUGGCCAAAGAUUUAUGUCAUACUUCAUAUUAGCAGCCUUUUUAGUUGCUAACUUUCUCCAGAGUUCAAAAUUCAAGGAAGAGUUGCCAUUCUCGGACCAGAUUCCUUCUUAGCACCUUGCUCCUCUGUUUUGUGGGGAUGGGGUUGAUUACUUUGCCAUUUCCACCCUCUGCUGGCCAGCUGACCCACUCCUCCCCAUCUGGUUCAUUUGAAGGGAGAGAACUUUCCUUCAUGACAAGAGAACAUUUUGCAGCUUGCUUUUUGUGAAAUUGGAAUGCCAACUUAAUUUGGAUUGAUGAUUAUUUCGGAUGUGAGCAUUACUGGGAUUCCAGACAAUGAGUAAAAUGAUACUACAUAUGGCAAGCUUAUUUACUACUGUUAAUUUUAUUGUAAAGGUGGAAGAGAAAAGUAAUUUGCUCAGAAAGCAUUUAGAGCUGUUCUAAGGAUCUUUCCAAAACCCAAGUUGAAUUUCAUCCAGAGGGUUUCUUUAUAUAAGCACCUUCUCUCCUGCAUGCUAAUUAGCAGUUCAUUUUUCCAGCAGCAACCUGCCCUCUUUUCGUCUUAUUUUAACCUUGUCUAAACUCAAGGAAAGUUCAUGGGAGGACAGAGCCAUGUGUGUUUUCUUGGACUUGUGAAUCAAUUGGUGGGAACAACCACAAGAAAAAGUGCACUGUGGCAUUGGCAUCUCAGUGGCAUUUAUAGGCUUAUCCCGUAAGACCAGAGGGUUUUUAAAGCAAAGUUUUAAAAAGCAGGUCAACGAUCCAUGGGUCUCUGUCACUCAAGUAACCCCUUCUCCCCCCAUCCCCUUUAGGAGUGAGGUGGUCGGUGUAAAGCUGCAGACUUACAGAGAUAAGGUCGAGCUCUAUUGUUCCAGUAUUCUCGGGAUCCAGCUGCUUAAAUAUCUCUGGAGGAAGGAAAAGAAAAUGUCAUAAGUGAAUUAGCUGAACCAUGGAUCACAUUAAUCUUCUUCCCCUAUUUGGCAGGUUAUUUCACCUGCAGUGAAAGGUAGUCUGCUUUAAUACUGAGAAAACGGAAAUGGGUCUUUCCCCAAAUAACCACUUACUGAACAGUGUUUCCAGUCGAACUAAGCACCGAACAAAAUUAUCAAAAUCGAUGAUGAGCUCGUCAUCUGCAAACCGAGCAACGAUGACUUGGUGGAGCUGACAGGGCAGUUUGAAACCUGGAGUUACAAUGAACAAACAAACCGAUUGUGAAGUAUUAGAUGACAGUGUGUAGCUCUGUUCACCAGAUACAGAAUUAGAACUGCUCUUGUCUCUUGACUGCUCUUCUGUGAGACUUAUUUUGCAAAGCCAGUACCUUCUGUUAUUUCUUUUAUUUUCACAAUGUUUGCCCUUACCCUGACUGUUUCCUUACUGUUUUCUUCUAUUGACUCACAUUUCCCUGGCUACUGCUACCUUUUGUUUUGGACAAACCUAACUCCUGCUUCCCAAAGACUUUUCUUGCCUGAUGCUAUUUCCAUGGUCUGUGCUGCUUCAUGUCGUCAACUGUGCUGCAUUAUUUUUAUGCUUUUUGUUUGUUUAGCUCAGAAUCAUCUCAAAGACUAGAUUCUACCUCAUAUGUGUGGCAGAAACUGUUUGUGGUACCCCAAUAUUAAUUUUCCCUCUUUCCACAGGAAGAGAAUUUUUAAUGGACCCAUGGCUGCCUAGACUAAAGAUCAUAUUUCCCAGCUUCCCCUGCAGCUAUUUUCCACCUUGUGGCUAAGUUCUGGCCAGCGGGACGUGAGCAGAAGUGGUAUCGGCAUUAAAGGCAAGGAGCUGUUCUUCCCUUUUUCCAUCAACCCGCUGCUAGGAUGUGGUUGUGGUGGCAAACUGUCCUGGUCACAUGGUGAGGGCAACACUCUAAGGAAUGGCGAAGCAAAUGACAGGAGGAGCCCAGGUCCCUGACAGCAUGAAGGCACCAUCCCGCUUUGGACUGCUUGAGCUUGGCUUGUAACAUGGGGAGAAAUGUAUCUUAUUUAAACCACUGUUUUUUGUGGUCUCUGCAACAGCAUUAUACCCCAAUUAAUAAAGUGAACAACUUCAUCAUCUCA